This is a non-coding RNA of Habropoda laboriosa, 19 nucleotides long. NCBI's taxonomy places the organism in Eukaryota, Metazoa, Arthropoda, Insecta, Hymenoptera, Apidae. The record is from Rfam.
CGCGACUGGUGAGUACGCG